CUACGGGGCGCAGCAGUGGGGAAUAUUGGGCAAUGGGCGCAAGCCUGACCCAGCAACGCCGCGUGAGGGAAGAAGGUUUUCGGAUUGUAAACCUCUGUCCCCCCUGACGAAACAAAUGACGGUAAGGGGGGAGGAAGCUCCGGCUAACUACGUGCCAGCAGCCGCGGUAAUACGUAGGGAGCGAGCGUUGUCCGGAAUUACUGGGCGUAAAGGGUGCGUAGGCGGCAUAUUAAGUCAGGUGUGAAAUUUUCGGGCUCAACCCGGAACCUGCAUUUGAAACUGAUAAGCUUGAGUGUGAGAGAGGUAAGUGGAAUUCCUAGUGUAGCGGUGAAAUGCGUAGAUAUUAGGAGGAACACCAGUGGCGAAGGCGACUUACUGGCUCAUAACUGACGCUGAGGCACGAAAGCGUGGGGAGCAAACAGGAUUAGAUACCCCUGUAGUC
This 442-nucleotide ribosomal RNA is filed under the name uncultured bacterium. RNAcentral's name for it is "partial 16S ribosomal RNA". It matches the Rfam family "Bacterial small subunit ribosomal RNA", at positions 339 to 795 of the family's 1533-position model. The record is from RNAcentral.